AUGUAAGGUUAAGGAAAAAAGGGCGCACAGUGAAUGCCUAGGCACCAAGAGCCGAUGAAGGACGCAACUAACGGCGAAACGCCACGGGGAGCAGUAAGUACGCGACGAUCCGUGGGAAUCCGAAUGGGGAAACCCAUCACGUGGAAGACGUGAUAUCCGACACUUGUGGUCGGAGGGAAAACGCGGGGAACUGAAAUAUCUAAGUACCCGCAGGAAAAGAAAGUAAAAACGAUUCCGCUAGUAGCGACGAGCGAACGCGGAGGAGCCUAACACCAGAAUAGUUACAAAACCAUAGAUUAGAAGAAUGGCGUGGGAAAGCCAACCAUAGAGGGUGAGAGUCCUGUAUUUGAAAAUGUAUGGACUAGGGUGUUGAGAAGUACGGCGAGACACGAGGAAUCUUGUCGGAAGAUGCGAGGACCAUCUCGUAAGGCUAAAUACUCCUUGGUGACCGAUAGUGAACCAGUACCGUGAGGGAAAGGUGAAAAGAACCCCGGGAGGGGAGUGAAAGAGAUCCUG
Molecule: ribosomal RNA, 516 nt
Filed under: Tenericutes bacterium RIFOXYA12_FULL_35_10
Lineage: Bacteria; Bacillati; Mycoplasmatota
Description: bacterial LSU rRNA
Rfam family: Bacterial large subunit ribosomal RNA
Source: RNAcentral